UACGAAGGGGGCUAGCGUUGCUCGGAAUCACUGGGCGUAAAGCGCACGUAGGCGGACUCUUAAGUCAGGGGUGAAAUCCUGGAGCUCAACUCCAGAACUGCCUUUGAUACUGGGAGUCUUGAGUUCGGGAGAGGUGAGUGGAACUGCGAGUGUAGAGGUGAAAUUCGUAGAUAUUCGCAAGAACACCAGUGGCGAAGGCGACUUCCUGGCCUGUUCUUGACGCUGAGGCGCGAAAGCUAGGGGAGCAAACGUG
RNAcentral lists this ribosomal RNA (253 nucleotides) under uncultured bacterium. RNAcentral describes it as "partial 16S ribosomal RNA". It matches the Rfam family "Bacterial small subunit ribosomal RNA", at positions 524 to 776 of the family's 1533-position model. The record is from RNAcentral.